Molecule: non-coding RNA, 24 nt
Filed under: Arabidopsis thaliana (thale cress)
Lineage: Eukaryota; Viridiplantae; Streptophyta; Magnoliopsida; Brassicales; Brassicaceae
Source: RNAcentral
UUGGCAAAGACUUUAGGAUGACCU